UGUGAGUGUGUGUGUGGUGUGUGUGUGUGUGUGGGGUGUGUGUGUUGUGUGUGUGUGGUGUGUGUGUGUGGUUUGACUGGUUUGUCAAGGCAGUGUCGUUACCCCGUGUGGCUGUUGCAUCGAAAGGGGAAGACUCCGAUGCGUACUGGUCAACAUCGCCACCGAGGGAGACAAAGGCGGCCGGGCGUGGUGCUGACCCAAGGCCACGACCCUCGUGUGUGCCACGGUGCCGGUGGCUGCACUUGCCCCUACAGCGGCGUCGCUGAAGGCUACACGGGGGACAUUUGGCUUUGGCUGCUGAAGAGAAGCCGUCUCAAGCUGGAACGCCUCCUGGAAACCAAUAUCGCAGCAGCAGUGACAUCAGCAGCUACAACAACAUCAUCAUCAGCAGCAAUUAUCAUAAGUACAUCAUCAUCAUCAGCAGCAGCAGCAGCGGCAACAUCAGCACCACCGACAUCUCAUCAGAAGCAACUCCAUCAUCAGCAACUUUCAUCAGCAGUAGCAUCAGCAGCACCAGCACCACCACCAUCAUCAGCAAUAACAACUUUUCAAUUUUGUCAUCAACAGCAGUGGUGUCAUCAGCAAGUCCAUCAGCAUCAGCAGCACCACCAUCAUC
This is a non-coding RNA of Petromyzon marinus (sea lamprey), 616 nucleotides long. The record is from RefSeq and is a predicted model, not a curated record. Lineage: Eukaryota; Metazoa; Chordata; Hyperoartia; Petromyzontiformes; Petromyzontidae.